UCCCUGGCGGCGUGCCUAAUACAUGCAAGUCGAGCGGACAGAAGGGAGCUUGCUCCUGGAAGUCAGCGGCGGACGGGUGAGUAACACGUGGGCAACCUGCCCUGUAGACUGGGAUAACAUCGAGAAAUCGGUGCUAAUACCGGAUAAUCGAAGAAACCGCAUGGUUUCUUUGUAAAAGAUGGCUCCGGCUAUCACUACGGGAUGGCCCCCCGCCCCUUAACUUAUUUGNUGGGUUAAAGGUUAACCAAGGCACCANUCCUUACCCAACNUAAAAGGGUNAUCGNCCACCCUGGAACUGAGACACGGCCCANACUCCUACGGGAGGCAGCAGUAGGGAAUCUUCCGCAAUGGACGAAAGUCUGACGGAGCAACGCCGCGUGAGUGAUGAAGGUUUUCGGAUCGUAAAGCUCUGUUGUUAGGGAAGAACAAGUGCCAUUCAAAUAGGGUGGCACCUUGACGGUCCUAACCAGAAAGCCCGGGUAACUACNUGCCANCAGCCCGCGGUAAUACUUAGGUGGCA
Molecule: ribosomal RNA, 520 nt
Filed under: bacterium BnMSX27
Lineage: Bacteria
Description: bacterial SSU rRNA
Rfam family: Bacterial small subunit ribosomal RNA
Source: RNAcentral